UACGGAGGGGGCUAGCGUUGUUCGGAAUUACUGGGCGUAAAGCGCACGUAGGCGGACUGUUAAGUCAGGGGUGAAAUCCUGGAGCUCAACUCCAGAACUGCCUUUGAUACUGAGAAGCUUGAGUCCGGGAGAGGUGAGUGGAACUGCGAGUGUAGAGGUGAAAUUCGUAGGUAUUCGCAAGAACACCAGUGGCGAAGGCGGCUCACUGGCCCGGUACUGACGCUGAGGUGCGAAAGCGUGGGGAGCAAACAGG
RNAcentral lists this ribosomal RNA (253 nucleotides) under uncultured bacterium. RNAcentral's name for it is "partial 16S ribosomal RNA". It matches the Rfam family "Bacterial small subunit ribosomal RNA", at positions 524 to 776 of the family's 1533-position model. The record is from RNAcentral.